RNAcentral lists this ribosomal RNA (2915 nucleotides) under Vibrio parahaemolyticus. Its description in RNAcentral is "23S ribosomal RNA". It matches the Rfam family "Bacterial large subunit ribosomal RNA". The record is from RNAcentral. Lineage: Bacteria; Pseudomonadati; Pseudomonadota; Gammaproteobacteria; Vibrionales; Vibrionaceae.
GUUGUAUGGUUAAGUGACUAAGCGUACACGGUGGAUGCCUUGGCAGUCAGAGGCGAUGAAAGACGUAGUAACUUGCGAUAAGCCCAGAUUAGGUAGUAACAACCAUUUGAGUCUGGGAUUUCUGAAUGGGGAAACCCACUUACAUAAGUAAGUAUCAUUAACUGAAUACAUAGGUUAAUGAGGCGAACCGGGGGAACUGAAACAUCUAAGUACCCCGAGGAAAAGAAAUCAACCGAGAUUCCGAAAGUAGCGGCGAGCGAAAUUGGACUAGCCCUUAAGCUUUACACGCGUUAGACGAACGGUCUGGAAAGUCCGACGAUACAGGGUGAUAGUCCCGUAGUUGACGACGUGUGUUCAGUGAAAUCGAGUAGGGCGGGACACGUGAUAUCCUGUCUGAAUAUGGGGGGACCAUCCUCCAAGGCUAAAUACUACUGACUGACCGAUAGUGAACCAGUACCGUGAGGGAAAGGCGAAAAGAACCCCUGUGAGGGGAGUGAAAUAGAACCUGAAACCGUGUACGUACAAGCAGUAGGAGCAGGCUUUGUCCUGUGACUGCGUACCUUUUGUAUAAUGGGUCAGCGACUUAUAUUCAGUGGCAAGGUUAACCAUCUAGGGGAGCCGUAGGGAAACCGAGUCUUAACUGGGCGUUCAGUCUCUGGAUAUAGACCCGAAACCAGGUGAUCUAGCCAUGGGCAGGUUGAAGGUUGAGUAACAUCAACUGGAGGACCGAACCGACUAAUGUUGAAAAAUUAGCGGAUGACUUGUGGCUAGGGGUGAAAGGCCAAUCAAACCUGGAGAUAGCUGGUUCUCCCCGAAAGCUAUUUAGGUAGCGCCUCGGACGAAUACUACUGGGGGUAGAGCACUGUUAAGGCUAGGGGGUCAUCCCGACUUACCAACCCUUUGCAAACUCCGAAUACCAGUAAGUACUAUCCGGGAGACACACGGCGGGUGCUAACGUCCGUCGUGGAGAGGGAAACAACCCAGACCGCCAGCUAAGGUCCCAAAUUACUACUAAGUGGGAAACGAUGUGGGAAGGCUCAGACAGCCAGGAUGUUGGCUUAGAAGCAGCCAUCAUUUAAAGAAAGCGUAAUAGCUCACUGGUCGAGUCGGCCUGCGCGGAAGAUGUAACGGGGCUAAGUAGUAAACCGAAGCUGCGGCAAUACUCUUUGAGUAUUGGGUAGGGGAGCGUUCUGUAAGCGGUUGAAGGUGUGUGGUAACGCAUGCUGGACGUAUCAGAAGUGCGAAUGCUGACAUGAGUAACGAUAAAGGGGGUGAAAAACCUCCUCGCCGGAAGACCAAGGGUUCCUGUCCAACGUUAAUCGGGGCAGGGUAAGUCGACCCCUAAGGCGAGGCCGAAAGGCGUAGUCGAUGGGAAACGGGUUAAUAUUCCCGUACUUCUUACAAUUGCGAUGGGGGGACGGAGAAGGCUAGGUGGGCCUGGCGACGGUUGUCCAGGUUCAAGUGCGUAGGCUUAAGAGUUAGGUAAAUCCGGCUCUUUUUAAGGCUGAGACACGACGUCGAGCACCUACGGGUGUGAAGUCAUUGAUGCCAUGCUUCCAGGAAAAGCCUCUAAGCUUCAGAUUGUAAGGAAUCGUACCCCAAACCGACACAGGUGGUCGGGUAGAGAAUACCAAGGCGCUUGAGAGAACUCGGGUGAAGGAACUAGGCAAAAUGGUACCGUAACUUCGGGAGAAGGUACGCUCUUGAUGGUGAAGUCCCUUGCGGAUGGAGCUGACGAGAGUCGCAGAUACCAGGUGGCUGCAACUGUUUAUUAAAAACACAGCACUGUGCAAAAUCGUAAGAUGACGUAUACGGUGUGACGCCUGCCCGGUGCCGGAAGGUUAAUUGAUGGGGUUAGACUUCGGUCGAAGCUCUUGAUCGAAGCCCCGGUAAACGGCGGCCGUAACUAUAACGGUCCUAAGGUAGCGAAAUUCCUUGUCGGGUAAGUUCCGACCUGCACGAAUGGCGUAAUGAUGGCCACGCUGUCUCCACCCGAGACUCAGUGAAAUUGAAAUCGCUGUGAAGAUGCAGUGUACCCGCGGCUAGACGGAAAGACCCCGUGAACCUUUACUACAGCUUGGCACUGAACAUUGACCCUACAUGUGUAGGAUAGGUGGGAGGCUUUGAAGCACGUACGCCAGUAUGUGUGGAGCCGUCCUUGAAAUACCACCCUUGUAGUGUUGAUGUUCUAACGUCGACCCCUAAUCGGGGUUGCGGACAGUGCCUGGUGGGUAGUUUGACUGGGGCGGUCUCCUCCCAAAGAGUAACGGAGGAGCACGAAGGUGGGCUAAUCACGGUUGGACAUCGUGAGGUUAGUGCAAUGGCAUAAGCCCGCUUGACUGCGAGAAUGACAAUUCGAGCAGGUGCGAAAGCAGGUCAUAGUGAUCCGGUGGUUCUGAAUGGAAGGGCCAUCGCUCAACGGAUAAAAGGUACUCCGGGGAUAACAGGCUGAUACCGCCCAAGAGUUCAUAUCGACGGCGGUGUUUGGCACCUCGAUGUCGGCUCAUCACAUCCUGGGGCUGAAGUCGGUCCCAAGGGUAUGGCUGUUCGCCAUUUAAAGUGGUACGCGAGCUGGGUUUAGAACGUCGUGAGACAGUUCGGUCCCUAUCUGCCGUGGGCGUUGGAAGAUUGAAGGGGGCUGCUCCUAGUACGAGAGGACCGGAGUGGACGAACCUCUGGUGUUCGGGUUGUGUCGCCAGACGCAUUGCCCGGUAGCUAAGUUCGGAAUCGAUAACCGCUGAAAGCAUCUAAGCGGGAAGCGAGCCCUGAGAUGAGUCUUCCCUGAUACUUUAAGUAUCCUAAAGGGUUGUCGGAGACUACGACGUUGAUAGGUCAGGUGUGUAAGUGCUGUGAGGCAUUGAGCUAACUGAUACUAAUUGCCCGUGAGGCUUAACCAUACAACACCCAAGGGGUUU